AAAGCGUGGGUAGCAAACAGGAUUAGAUACCCUGGUAGUCCACGCCGUAAACGAUGUCUACUAGUCGUUGGGUCCCUUGAGGACUUAGUGACGCAGCUAACGCAAUAAGUAGACCGCCUGGGGAGUACGGCCGCAAGGUUAAAACUCAAAUGAAUUGACGGGGGCCCGCACAAGCGGUGGAGCAUGUGGUUUAAUUCGAUGCAACGCGAAGAACCUUACCUGGUCUUGACAUACACAGAAUCUUGUAGAGAUACGAGAGUGCCUUCGGGAAUUGUGAUACAGGUGCUGCAUGGCUGUCGUCAGCUCGUGUCGUGAGAUGUUGGGUUAAGUCCCGCAACGAGCGCAACCCUUGUCCUUAGUUACCAGCGGGUUAAGCCGGGAACUCUAAGGAUACUGCCAGUGACAAACUGGAGGAAGGCGGGGACGACGUCAAGUCAUCAUGGCCCUUACGACCAGGGCUACACACGUGCUACAAUGGUAGGUACAGAGGGCAGCUACACAGCGAUGUGAUGCGAAUCUCAAAAAGCCUAUCGUAGUCCAGAUUGGAGUCUGCAACUCGACUCCAUGAAGUAGGAAUCGCUAGUAAUCGCGGAUCAGAAUGCCGCGGUGAAUACGUUCCCGGGCCUUGUACACACCGCCCGUCACACCAUGGGAGUUGAUUGCACCAGAAGUGGUUAGCCUAACUUAGUGAGGGCGAUCACCACGGUGUGGUCGAUGACUGGGGUGAAGUCGUAACAAGGUAGCCGUAGGGGAACCUGCGGCUG
RNAcentral lists this ribosomal RNA (764 nucleotides) under uncultured bacterium. RNAcentral's name for it is "bacterial SSU rRNA". It matches the Rfam family "Bacterial small subunit ribosomal RNA", at positions 756 to 1520 of the family's 1533-position model. The record is from RNAcentral.